RNAcentral lists this ribosomal RNA (321 nucleotides) under uncultured Pseudomonadota bacterium. RNAcentral's name for it is "bacterial SSU rRNA". It matches the Rfam family "Bacterial small subunit ribosomal RNA", at positions 30 to 351 of the family's 1533-position model. The record is from RNAcentral. Lineage: Bacteria; Pseudomonadati; Pseudomonadota.
AUUGAACGCUGGCGGCAUGCCUUACACAUGCAAGUCGAACGGCAGCACGGGAGCAAUCCUGGUGGCGAGUGGCGAACGGGUGAGUAAUAUAUCGGAACGUGCCCGGUAGUGGGGGAUAACCCGGCGAAAGUCGGACUAAUACCGCAUACGACCUACGGGUGAAAGCGGGGGAUCGCAAGACCUCGCGCUAUUGGAGCGGCCGAUAUCAGAUUAGCUAGUUGGUGGGGUAAAAGCCUACCAAGGCAACGAUCUGUAGCUGGUCUGAGAGGACGACCAGCCACACUGGGACUGAGACACGGCCCAGACUCCUACGGGAGGCUG